CGCACAUCCCUUAAUUUUGUGCACCAUCAGAUGGGGCUCUGAGACAUGUGGAUGUGGAAGAAGAGGAGGAGUCCUUCUCUGAGAAGAAACUCCAUGCCAAAAUAAAUGUGGGAUGCCCAUAUUGUUGUGCAUUGAAAUGGAAGAGUCCAUUUCACAUUGGACUCUUAAAUUCCUUAUCAAAUUGUCCAUGCAUUUCUUAUAUCCUCGUAUCAUGUGAUGGAGCCUUGGGAUGUGGG
Molecule: long non-coding RNA, 236 nt
Filed under: Elaeis guineensis (African oil palm)
Lineage: Eukaryota; Viridiplantae; Streptophyta; Magnoliopsida; Arecales; Arecaceae
Description: long non-coding RNA (EGUI_LNC048296)
Source: RNAcentral